CGCACGGAUUCGGGUCCUACCGGGACUUUUUACAUUCCUAGCCGACGACUCUUCUUCACUCGUCCACAUCGCGCCUCCCCAGCUUCGCAUCUCCGGCCGGGCCAUACUGUUCAUUCUCGCCUCCAUCACAGAAACGACGACCUUCCCUCCUCUGAUCAAAUUUUACCUUCAUUCACUCGCACCUAAGCCAUCAUUGCCCUCGUCCUCGACUCAAAACUAUAGUCCGUCUAUUUCAUUGCUUCUUUCCCACGGAUGCAGCCUUUAUAGAGCCUCUGCGCCUUUCAUAUGUCUGAAUGAUCCUGCCAAACAGCCCCUAAGCGAGUGUAAAUUCUUUGUUGGAUUCAUCUUUGAUGGCAUCUAGACUGAUUCACAAAGCCACAUAUGAAGCUGAUAACCCAUUUGAUGUGUCUCUAACAGAAUCUUUUCAACUUCUGGAACCCCAAUUGAGGCCCCCGUUUCCAUUAACAAUCCUUACACAAUCUGAAUACUCGAAUCUCAACAGAGCUAUUCUAUAUGGCAUCCUAUGUGAACCUCAUUUGGCAGAAGUUCAUAUCAAACACUUACAUGGCAUUGUAAUUGAUGGAUACAGUUUGUUUACAGCUUUACUUACCAGGUUAGUUGAUGAAUUGUAUUCAAAUCUUGUUGAGAAUGUGAAAAUACAAUUACUUGGAGUCACUUCAAUAAUGAUCCGUGUAUCAGCUAUUGGAAUAGAUGGUUUGUUAGUGGCUUUGUUGAGGCAAACUCGUGGUGGUGAUUUUAGCAAAGCAAAUUUGUGGUUGUGUUCUGAAUUGGUUACUCUUUUCUCCAUUAAAUGGGAGUCUUUGCUGGAAGAACAACCAUUGGUGUUAUCAAGCGCCAUGUAUGUCUUUCUUAGGCUCUUGGCUGAUCAUUGUAGAGUUUCAUCAAACUCAAAUCUGGACACUUUGAAACAGAAGGAAAUCGAAUUCUGUAUUAGGGUUUUCAAGGAACAGUUCCAUUUAUGUUUGAAAAUCGGAAGGGAUUUGAUUAGGCUUCUUCAAGACUUAGUUCAUGUGCCUGAAUUUCAAGAAAUAUGGAAAGAUCUCUUAUUGUUCCCUGGUAAUUUCAAAACAUUAGGGUUUUCAGAUAUUUCACAGAUUUAUCAAUCAAGAACUUCUAGUAGGUAUUUUUUACUUCGUCUUACCCCCGAAAUGGAAACUCACUUGCGUUUCUUGCUUACACAAGUCAAACUCGGAAGUCAAACUCGAUACCAAAUUUGGUUUGGGAAGAAGUUUCUUAAUGUCCAAGAAAAGGAGAGUGUUGUGAUUGAUAUUGUUAGGUUUAUCUGUUGUGCACAUCACCCUUCUAAUAAAACAAUCCUAUCAAAUGUGAUUCCUAGAUGGGCUGUGAUUGGUUGGUUGCUGACAUGUUGUAGUAAGAAUCAUGUGCAAGCUAAUGUGAAGCUGGCAUUGUUGUAUGACUUUCUUUUCUUUCAUGAAGAAGUUGAUAAUAUAAUGAACAUUGAGCCUGCAAUGUUAUUGAUGAUAAACUCGGUGCCUAAAUAUGUUGACAUGACACAAAAUCUUUUGGAGUUUUUAUUCCUUUUGGUGGAUCAUUAUGAUGUUGAAAGGAAAGAUUUGAUUGUUAGGGGCGUGUUAUCGGCUCUUGAUGUGCUUGAAAGAAAAGGUGUGGUGCAGUCGUUUGAUGCUUUGACUAGUUGUGAUUUGCUUUCUUCUGUACUUAAGGAGAGACUUUUGAAGUUGUUGUUAAGCAAAAAUGCUGUCUGUAGAAAGGUUAUUCUUCCAACAACCCCUGAGCUGGCCCACACUGCUCCUAGCAGAGCAUCAUGUGAGGUGUAAAUCAGAUACAAAACGGAGAGUUCUCACGACGAUCCCAAUUCACCUUGGAGUUAGUCUACUGUUUCAACAAAAUGGGUGAAGGUUGGCCUGAAACAAACACAAACUUUCCCUUGACUCGACUGCCUUGAGCUGAACUGGAUCGAACAUCGUAUCCAUAGUCUGAUGUAAACUCUAGAGCACCACUUGGAUCAGUAGUCUCGUGUGGCUUCAGAUUUAAAGUUGUGUAGAAGGAUGUCGGUCAUAAUGACCACUUUGUUAAACAUUAACAAGUAGAAUAACUCUUUAUAAUUAGAAAAAUGAUUGAUA
RNA transcript from Lactuca sativa (garden lettuce), 2123 nucleotides. RefSeq lists it as uncharacterized. The record is from RefSeq and is a predicted model, not a curated record. Lineage: Eukaryota; Viridiplantae; Streptophyta; Magnoliopsida; Asterales; Asteraceae.